Molecule: non-coding RNA, 1378 nt
Organism: Agelaius phoeniceus (red-winged blackbird)
Lineage: Eukaryota; Metazoa; Chordata; Aves; Passeriformes; Icteridae
Source: RefSeq, a predicted model, not a curated record
AUGGCGGCGGUGCGGGCGGCGCUGCUCGCCCCGCUGCUGGCGCUCGGCCGGGCCGGCUCGGGGCCCGCCACCCCCGCGCGGGUCGAGGUGGCCGUGUCGGGGCCCGGGGCGGCGGGGCCGGACGGGGAUGGAGCCGGCGGCGGGGCCGGCAGCGCGGGCGCGGUGCCCGGCGGCUCGUACACGCUGCGCGGGGCCGUGCUGGGAGCGGGGGGCGGCCGGGCCGGGCCGGGCCGGGGCGGCCCGCGGGGGGAGCGGGAGGAGAUGGAGAUCCGAGGCCGCCUGGUGCUGGUGGGUGACGUGGAGCCGGAGCUGAGCGCUGCUGACAGCUGGAUCGGGGUGGUGCCUGUGGGCACCGAGGAGCCGGCCGAGGGUCCCCGGGGUGCCAAGGAGGAGUCCUUCACCACCGCUGUUGUCACCAAGAUGAAGCGAGCCCUGGUGCUGGGGGCCUCUGCCCUGCUGAUCCUGGCACUGAACCAGAACGCCAUCCGUGAGCUGGACGUGUCCCAGCUGCUGGCCAAGCCCGUCAUCGUCAUCCAAUCCUCGGACAAUGUCACCAGGCUGCUGGGAGCGCUGCUGCGCGGGCUCCGGGCUACGGCCAAGAUCACGUACCAGGCAGUGCUGCUGGAGAACCUGGGAGUGACCCUCACACUCUGGUCCACCUGUGGCCUGUCCCGAGGGGGCCUCUACGGGGAGUGGCAGGGGGUCAUCUGCCCCGGGGAGAGCAGCUCGCAGGUCCAGAAGUACCUGCAGCAGCUGUGGAACACCAUCCUGCUGAUCGCCCUGCUGCUCUGCACCGGUGUCAUGGUGCAGGCCCAGCGGCAGUCGCGGCAGGAGCUGUCGGAGCGGGAUGCCGAGCUGGACCUGAAGCAGCACAUCCGGCGGCGGCUGCUGGCGCUGAAAACGCGGCGGUACCACCCUGGGAAGCCGCCCCGGAGCCGGGCCUGUGAGAUCGACAGCUGUGCCGUGUGCCUGGACCAGUUCCACAAGAGCCAGUGGCUGCGGGUGCUGCCCUGCUCCCACGAGUUCCACCGGGACUGUGUGGAUCCCUGGCUCCUGCUGCAGCAGACCUGCCCUCUCUGCAAGCGCAACAUCCUGGGGAACUGCUGCACGGACAGCUAGCUGGCCCGAGGACACACUCCAGGGACAGAUCCACGGCUGCUGCAGGGACAGGGAGGGGGCAGGGGGUGCCCAGUGAGAGGCACUUGCUGCCACAGCAGGGUUGGUGUGGCUGUGCCCAUCACAGUGCCCAGACUUCGGAGAGGGAAGGACUUUGGGCUCUCCUGCUGGGUCACCUCGAUCCGGAUCUUGUUGGCCUGGAGCUGACUCUUCAUGUCCUCUGUAAAGUUCCCACUGCCUGCAGACAAAAUCCAACAGAGCC